Molecule: ribosomal RNA, 253 nt
Filed under: uncultured bacterium
Lineage: Bacteria
Description: partial 16S ribosomal RNA
Rfam family: Bacterial small subunit ribosomal RNA
Source: RNAcentral
UACGUAGGGGGCUAGCGUUGUCCGGAAUCAUUGGGCGUAAAGCGCGCGUAGGCGGCCAGAUAAGUCCGGUGUGAAAGUCACAGGCUCAACCUGUGAAUGCCGCUGGAAACUGUCUGGCUAGAGUCCGGAAGGGGCGAGUGGAACUGCGAGUGUAGAGGUGAAAUUCGUAGAUAUUCGCAAGAACACCAGUGGCGAAGGCGGCUCACUGGCCCGGUACUGACGCUGAGGUGCGAAAGCGUGGGGAGCAAACAGG